This 264-nucleotide ribosomal RNA is filed under the name uncultured bacterium. RNAcentral describes it as "partial 16S ribosomal RNA". It matches the Rfam family "Bacterial small subunit ribosomal RNA", at positions 793 to 1055 of the family's 1533-position model. The record is from RNAcentral.
GUCCACGCUGUAAACGAUGGGUACUAGGCGUCGGGGGAGCGACCCCUUCGGUGCCGUCGCUAACGCAGUAAGUACCCCGCCUGGGGAGUACGGCCGCAAGGCUGAAACUCAAAGGAAUUGACGGGGGCCCGCACAAGCGGUGGAGCAUGUGGUUUAAUUCGAGGCAACGCGAAGAACCUUACCUGGGCUUGACAUGUACGUGAAAGCCGGUGGAAACAUCGGCCCCUCUUCGGAGCGCGUACACAGGUGCUGCAUGGCUGUCGU